This 364-nucleotide long non-coding RNA is filed under the name Rattus norvegicus (Norway rat). RNAcentral describes it as "long non-coding RNA NONRATT031312". The record is from RNAcentral. Lineage: Eukaryota; Metazoa; Chordata; Mammalia; Rodentia; Muridae.
GCCAGGCUGUCGCGCUCUUCUGGAGGGUGCCUGCAGCGACUGAAUUCUUGUGCUGCGACGGUGCCGCGCCCAGAGCAGCAACCACAGCGACGAUGCCAGGCCAUUACCUGUUUGAUCCCUGCGGGAAAGCUGGCACCGGCCAACUUUUGCCGAUCUUCAGGCUGCGAAGUUGCAAGGACUAGUGGAAGCGCCGGAGGGGCCAGGGCGAGGGCGCGCUCCCCCGUGCGCUGCCUCCUCCCUCCUCGCGCCCGCCGCCCGCGCCCGCGGCCUCUCUCCUGCCCGCGCGCUCUCCCUCCGCCCGCCUCCCUCCUCUGGCCCCCUCCACGCGCCACAGGGCGGGGGUGCCGCGAAACUCCGACCCGAG